GCUGGUCACUGUGGGAAGGGGAACCUCCUCCUACCAGGAAGUCCCUCUCUUCCAAGAUUGGACUUCUGCUCCAAAUUCAGUUUCUCCUGUCCUCACUACCUACCAUAAGUCCUGCAUGGAGAUGGUUUUAUGAUCCAUGAAAGAUCCUGUAGAUGAGGGAAAGAGAAGAAUGUGGGAUUAUAAUGAAAAAAGAAGAUAACAAGAGCUGAGAAUGUGAAAGAAAAACUUCACUUCUCAUACACUAGAUCCCAGAGACCAUCUUCUUGUUUUCGUCCUGGGAGCUCAGGUCACUGUAGGUCAGAGGACCAUACUGCCUGUUGGACAGAUGCUGAGAACACACAGAUGGAGUUUCACACUCAGAGCAAAAAUCCAUCUUCACAACCCAGUCUGCAAAAGCAGGGUGCCGCUUAUGUGUUUGUCAGCAAGUUACGGUCACCUGGGAAGAAGAAAUGCUGAUAAAGGAAUUGCCAUCAGAGGCAAGGCUGUGGGGGAACAUUCUUGAUUAAUGAUUGAUGUGGGAGGGCCCAGCCCACCGUGGGUGGUGCCCUACCAUGGCAGGUCGUCCUGGGAUCUGUAAGAAAACAGGCUGAGCAAGCAAUGAGAAACAAGUCAAAUGCCCACCCAUCUAUUGCUUCUGCUUCACUUCCCGCCCCCAGGUUCCAGCACAGCUUCAUUGAUUUCCUGCCUUGACUUCUUUUAGUGGUGGACUAUGAAAUAUGAAAGGACGUAGAAACCAAAUCAACCCUCCACUCGCCUCCUUGCUUUGGAUUACAGUCUUUAUCAUGGUAGGAGAAAGCAAACAAACAUAAAUACGCUGGGUGAUUUUUUUUUUGUAUGAAUAGUUUCAAAUUUAGGAUUAUAAGAUUGGCUGCUUCAGGAGAUGGGAAAUUGAAAGAAGAACUAUUUUAUAAGGGCUCUCAGCUUUGCUAUACGGUGACGUGAAAGAAAUUAGCGACUCUGUGGCCUGUGAAGAGAAUAAAUACAUUAUUUUUCUCUCUGGUUUAGAUUGGUUAGACUGAUGGAGGCAACACAGAAAUAAAAGAAAGCAGACAGGCAUCUAUCUCCAGAAGCAGAAUAGGUCUUUAAUCAGAGCAACUGAAGGGCCGUAGUCUCCCCAGAGUGGGAACUGUGCUGCAGGGCUGGUAAGUGGUCAGAAGCUUCCACACGGGUUGUCAGUAAAGUCAGCUUUCCUGUCUAGGGAUUCUCUGUGUACCUGAGGCUUUAGGGCAUUAACCCUUCACUAGGAACCAUGAGAAUUCCAUGGGAUGACAGAUAUAAAGCCCCGAGCCUUAAUGAAUUGUUCACAAAAGUUGUCCCCAGACCAUCUUUCUUUCUUCAACACUGUGUGUUGGAAUAUACACACACAGUUCACACACACACACACACACACACACACACACACACACACUUGAACAAUGCCAAAAGACUUGGUUACCUGGAUUUCCCCAUAGCAACCUUUAGCUCUGAUCACCUAGGAGGCAAAAUCUCUGGGUAUAUCUGUUAAGAUGUUCCUAGAGAUGUUUAAAUGGGCUGAGAAGAUCCCCACCCCUUAAUGUCAGGAUGACCAUUCCAUGGGCUGGAGUCUCAGACAGUAUAUAUAAAAAGGAGAGAAUGAACUGAGUGCCAGGGGCUCUCUCUCUGCUGGAUUGGGGAUGCAGUGUUGCCAGCAGCCUUUGGCGCUCAUCUGCACACCUUCCUCAUCAGGACAGAUGGCACCACCCAAACUAGGUACCAAAUAAAUCCUGCCUUAAGCUGAUUUUGCCUGGUGUUUUGUCACAGCAAUGGGAAAAUAUCCUAGGUCUGUACAAUAGUUCAGUUGCUACCUCUGUCUAAUCCUGAUUCCCUUUCUUAAUAUUUCUGACUAAUAGUUGGAAUUCCUAACCCCAGCUCAGUAUCUGCUUCAGGAAAACCCAAGUCUAGCAGGCAUCAAGGAGGAGCUCCUGGGAGAACUCAGACAAGUUCUGAGAGGCUGAUAGAAGAGUUUAACACAGAAACCUGGAUUACCCAAAACAUAAUCUACACAUCAAAUGAGGUACAAGAAGAAAGGAAGAGUGGCCCUUUGCUCUGGAAAGACUCAAUGAAGCAGUAUUCAGCAAAACCAGAACGGGGAAGU
Molecule: long non-coding RNA, 2113 nt
Organism: Apodemus sylvaticus (European woodmouse)
Lineage: Eukaryota; Metazoa; Chordata; Mammalia; Rodentia; Muridae
Exons: 5
Source: RefSeq, a predicted model, not a curated record